RNAcentral lists this transfer RNA (62 nucleotides) under Chinapotamon maolanense. RNAcentral's name for it is "tRNA-Thr". It matches the Rfam family "tRNA". Rfam says of the family: Transfer RNA (tRNA) molecules are approximately 80 nucleotides in length. Their secondary structure includes four short double-helical elements and three loops (D, anti-codon, and T loops). Lineage: Eukaryota; Metazoa; Arthropoda; Malacostraca; Decapoda; Potamidae. The record is from RNAcentral.
GUUUUGAUAGUUUAAUAAAAACUUUGGUCUUGUAAACCAAAAAUGAAUAAUUUCUCAAAAUU